UCAAAAUGGUGGCUCUCAGUGACAGGGAAUCCAAAGUUAAAUAAUUAUUACGUUUUAUUCGAAUUUAUGGUGUAGACAUGCUACCUUGUAUGUCAAACCAUGGAAAGACAAGGAGAAAACUUCAAUGCAAACCCACAUGAUGUGGAAAGGGCCGAAAAAGACUCUAUAAAACUUUUAUACAAAUGUUUUUGCAAUAAUUUACAGCUGGGACAGUGGGAGGUUGCCAGAUCAUGCAUACAACAAUUGAAAGAAAAAGAGGCAAUAAUAGGAUGUGAUAUUAAUGACAUCCUUACUGAAAUUGUUGAAAAUCCGUACCAACAAAGUCUUGGGUCCAGUACACUAAACUCACCAAGUCAGUUGUCCUGGUUGUGCCUGUUGGAGUGUCAAACUUUAUCUGAUAAAUCCAGUGAGGAGGAGAUAUUCUGGUUAACCAAACUGACAAAAGAUGCAGACUUCAGAUUACUUUUGGCAGAAAUACCUCCAGACACAGAUUCCAAUAUUAUC
This is a long non-coding RNA of Patella vulgata (common limpet), 504 nucleotides long. RefSeq lists it as uncharacterized. The transcript has 3 exons. Lineage: Eukaryota; Metazoa; Mollusca; Gastropoda; Patellidae. The record is from RefSeq and is a predicted model, not a curated record.